CUCUGAUGCUGUUAGACAUCAGCUCAGGCUCAGACUUAUUACUUCUGAUAUGUCACUGCUCAGGCAGGGAGCCUAAAGCAACACUGCUCCCUCCAGCCCUCGCAGGCUUCAGCUGGAUCCUCACCGGCCCACGGAGCAGAGCUGUUUCUGCAGCAGGAACACAGAGGGAAUAUGUGGACCUGAAGAGUAAGGGCAGCACCUUAAUUUACACUGAGCCUCUGAAAUGGGAGACUAAGAAGGAGGUCAAGAUGCACAGAAGUGAUUUAGCCAGAGCCACAGAGAGAAUGGGAAAGACUAAAACUCACCAAAAGCAUUGCUUAAUUCCUCACCAAGGUGCAAGUAAAUAAAACGUGCCACGUCGGUGCUUGUCUCUCACAUACCUUCUGUUUGCCUGAGAUGAAAUCGGGAGGCAAUAAAUGGAGCGCUUACUGGAGGAGCCA
This 440-nucleotide long non-coding RNA is filed under the name Cyanistes caeruleus (blue tit). RNAcentral's name for it is "lncRNA (ENSCCEG00000006566.1)". The record is from RNAcentral. Lineage: Eukaryota; Metazoa; Chordata; Aves; Passeriformes; Paridae.